RNAcentral lists this small RNA (1145 nucleotides) under Histoplasma capsulatum var. duboisii H88. Its description in RNAcentral is "Histoplasma capsulatum H88 hypothetical RNA". Lineage: Eukaryota; Fungi; Ascomycota; Eurotiomycetes; Onygenales; Ajellomycetaceae. The record is from RNAcentral.
CUGGCUAGGGAGGAUAAGGCAUACCGCCAUACACAGCAGCUCAGGGUAAGCUGUUGCGCUAACAGGAAACCCAUCUCAAUUCCACAGUUUUGCACUGACGAUCUACAUUAUAUCCAUCAUGCCAAUAGUAACCGCCACCACGAGCAUGGUUUUUGGCCUCAGCUUCCAGUUCCCGCUUUGUCCCGGCUCCCCGUUAGACUCUUGCUGUGAGAUCACCAUUGGCUUUUCACAAAAGUCAUUCAACCCUCUCAAUAACUCGGUUUCUUGGACUGGUGAUAAAAUUGGAUACAGUAAAGUCAGACAGUAAACACUAACACCUGUGCGCAAUAUAAGGACCAUCAAACACCUCAUUUUACCGUAUCCUCGAUAGAAAGCGCAUCAAUCGCGGUCGUCGCUGGGGAUUGUAACACGUAUGGAAUGGUCGGUUUGGAGUUUGUUUAACUCCACGUAUGAGCGCCUACACACCUAUGGGAACAAGAGUAUGAGCUUCGCAAUCUGCAGUAUUUUCGAGGUUUUGUGAGCCGGUAUGAGGCUCCCAGUCCUAAGACUGAUGUGAUGUUGAAGAUUCAUCAAUAACAAAUAUUAGAUGGCCGGGGAUUGCUGUUCAUCAAAAUGAAUAGGCCAGGUUAUAUAUACUCUGGUUAUACUCUGGUUUGUCCCACUCCGUCACAAUGCCCUAACCCGUCAGGAUACUAUAUCGAUAACGUCGCGCAUCUUCCUCACCCAUUAUGGAGUGGGGCAUUGAGAGUAGUCAUUGUUGAUGAGUCUUAAAACCAGAUAAAUGUAACUAUUGCAGGCAUGAAUGUCUUCUGAGAAGGCAGAAAACGUGAAAAAAGAAAAAAAAAAAUUAAGGCUGCCGAUUUUUUGCUUUCCGACAUCGACUAUUUGAAGAUAGUCGUGGCAGCAAUGUCAAGGAAAAGUAAAUACAUGAGAAAUAUUCGCUAUUGGUUGCAGAAUAAACGGGGGCGGAACUGAGAAAGGGAUUGGAGAAUAUAGAGACCAUGAAAUCGAAAGCAAAGCGGAGUUCGUUGUGAAAGAAACACAUACGUAUCUUUCCAGGGGUAAAUUCCUUUGGAGAAAACUAGACAAUGUAAUAUGAAACAUAGAUAUCACGAGACAUGAGAAUGAAAAAAAAAAGGAGAGAG